GCAUGCGUGAAGCCCAAGACAUAAGGGGCAUGACGUCAAGUCCUCAUGGCCCUUAUGGUAGGGCUUCACACGUCAUACAAUGGUACAUACAGAGGGCCGCCAACCCGCGAGGGGGAGCUAAUCCCAGAAAGUGUAUCGUAGUCCGGAUUGUAGUCUGCAACUCGACUACAUGAAGUUGGAAUCGCUAGUAAUCGCGGAUCAGCAUGUCGCGGUGAAUACGUUCCCGGGUCUUGUACACACCG
RNAcentral lists this ribosomal RNA (242 nucleotides) under uncultured bacterium. RNAcentral's name for it is "partial 16S ribosomal RNA". It matches the Rfam family "Bacterial small subunit ribosomal RNA", at positions 1092 to 1392 of the family's 1533-position model. The record is from RNAcentral.